AUGCCAAAAAUUAUCAACAUAUAUAGAAUAAGAGCGAGUUGGUCUGAGGCUCUUGUUUUCGUCGACCCUCGUUUUCGUCGGCCCUCGUGCUGUUCCGCGCGUGCCAUCGUCGUCCUCACGUGACCUUUAGUUCUCGUUUGUUUAGCACCUUGCACUGGCUUCUCCUCUCUUCUCGUUGUCAUUCUCUCUAUUUCUCUUUUCCUCUUCCUCUAGGGUUAGAUACAUUCUCAGACUUUGUUUCCUCCUCCGCCGCCGCAUCGUCUCCCUCUCCUCUCCUCUUCUAUAUCGGCUCGUUCUCUACCGUUUCUUCUUCUGUUUUCUUAUUUUUUAGUUUUCCCGUCUUUUUCUUUUCUCGUCUCUGCAUCCGUUCACUCCUCCUCCUCCUUCUCCACCGCCACACCGUCUCCUUCUCCUUAUCUGUUAUUUCUAUUUCUCUUCUCUCCUCUAGGGUUAGAUGCAACUUCAGAGUCUGUCCCUCUAUUUCUUGUCUCCUCCUCCGCCGACACACUGUCUCCGUGUCCUUUUCUAUCGGCUUCUUCUCUACCCAAUAUCAGAGAUCUAUUUUGCUCAACCAGCCCUAGGAUUCCCCCCCUUCGCCUUCCUCCGCUUUUUUUAACCGUUUUUUCUUCUGUUUUUCCCAUUUUUUUCCUUUUUCCGCUUUUUCAUCCGUUCACUCCUCCUCCUCCUCCACCACUACACCGGCUCCCUCUCCUUUAUCGGCUCCUUCUAUUCUACGCCCAGGAUUAUGGGUUUCCCUUCUCCUACCAGUCCUAGGAUUUCUCUUCUGCCUCCCUCCUGUUCAGGUUCAUUCUCGCCGGAUCCUCUCUCAGCCAUUGGGAGCACUUUGAAAUCCGCUGCAAGCUCUUCACUAUCCUCGGCAUCUCUUACUGCAUUAUUUUGAAGUAUUUGCUUCUGUGAAACGUUGAAGAAAAAGUUAAAGAUAUGUUGACUACAACUCGGUUUCAAAUUAUAUGUAAUUGGAUUUUUUUAUUUGUUAUUUGUAAUAUAUUAAAAAUUAAUUGCUUCCUGAUUAUUUUGUCAUGCCUUGAGUAGAUUGAGGCAAUUUUCAGCAACAACAAGGUGUACAAUGCGGAGAUGAUUGUUGUGAUGGCCAGUCGAAGUUCAAAUUACUGCUUGUUCAACAAGCCUUUGCAGACUUGGAGAGGGGCCGUGGAUAUCUUGUUCCAGACGAUGUCUACAAGGUUAUAGUACUGUUUACUAUGAUUGUUAGGUAGUUUUGAUCAGAAGAGGAGUGGAAGAUUCAGACUGGAUGGCUUCAUAUCACUCUGUAUAUUUGUACAGUCUGCGCGGUUUUGACAAAUGCUGUUUUAUAUCCUGUAAAUGAUGUUCUUCUGCGUUUGGUUCUUUCUGCAAGAUGUUACUUUUACUUCGGUGUGUUGUGUACCAAGGCAUCUUUAUAAGUUACUUGUAAUGCUGAACUGAGUGCUCAUGUGGCUAAGCAGUAAAGAGGAAGGAAUCUACUGUCCCGUGUUAGGCAUGCAUGUCGUUGGAUUAUGAGUACAGUUUCGUUGGAUAUUUUUUAGUUAAUGUGUAUUAUGUAAUUAUAGUUGUUGGAGGACUCAAGCACAGAAAUUAUGUAAUAGCUAGGUUGUUACUAUUGUUUAUCGCUUCAAGCUUUGAUAAUGGACUUAUCAAGCUUUAAUAAUGAAUGUACUUCGGUUACCUUAGUUUGAUGUUAAGCUUUGAUAGUAGAUGUUUGAACGGAAUGUACUUAUUAGCUUUUGAUGUUUAGCAAUAAAGUUCAUGCUAACUUUGGUUA
Coffea arabica (coffee) is the source of this 1780-nucleotide non-coding RNA. The record is from RefSeq and is a predicted model, not a curated record. NCBI's taxonomy places the organism in Eukaryota, Viridiplantae, Streptophyta, Magnoliopsida, Gentianales, Rubiaceae.